GUUGUAUAGUCAAGUAAUUAAGUGCAUGUGGUGGAUGCCUUGGCAGUCAGAGGCGAUGAAAGACGUGAUAGCCUGCGAAAAGCUCCGGGGAGGCGGCAAAUAUCCUUUGAUCCGGAGAUGUCUGAAUGGGGGAACCCACCUACUUUAAGGUAGGUAUUGCAACAUGAAUACAUAGUGUUGCAAGGCGAACGAGGGGAAGUGAAACAUCUCAGUACCCUUAGGAAAAGAAAUCAAUUGAGAUUCCCUCAGUAGCGGCGAGCGAACGGGGAUCAGCCCAUUAAGUUAUGUGUGUUUUAGUGGAACGCUCUGGGAAGUGCGAACGUAGAGGGUGAUAUUCCCGUACACGAAAGGGCACACAUAAUGAUGACGAGUAGGGCGAGGCACGUGAAACCUUGUCUGAAUAUGGGGGGACCAUCCUCCAAGGCUAAAUACUCCUGACUGACCGAUAGUGAACCAGUACCGUGAGGGAAAGGCGAAAAGAACCCCUGUGAGGGGAGUGAAAUAGAUCCUGAAACCGCAUGCAUACAAGCAGUGGGAGCACCUUCGUGGUGUGACUGCGUACCUUUUGUAUAAUGGGUCAGCGACUUAUAUUCAGUAGCAAGGUUAACCGUAUAGGGGAGCCGUAGAGAAAUCGAGUCUUAAUAGGGCGUUUAGUUGCUGGGUAUAGACCCGAAACCAGGCGAUCUAUCCAUGAGCAGGUUGAAGGUUGGGUAACACUAACUGGAGGACCGAACCCACUGUCGUUGAAAAGCCAGGGGAUGACUUGUGGAUAGGGGUGAAAGGCUAAUCAAGCCUGGUGAUAGCUGGUUCUCCCCGAAAGCUAUUUAGGUAGCGCCUCGGACGAAUACCAUAGGGGGUAGAGCACUGUUUCGGCUAGGGGGUCAUCCCGACUUACCAAACCGAUGCAAACUCCGAAUACCUAUGAGUACUAUCCGGGAGACAGACUGCGGGUGCUAACGUCCGUAGUCAAGAGGAAAACAAUCCAGACCGCCAGCUAAGGCCCCAAAAUCAUAGUUAAGUGGGAAACGAUGUGGGAAGGCAUAGACAGCUAGGAGGUUGGCUUAGAAGCAGCCACCCUUUAAAGAAAGCGUAAUAGCUCACUAGUCGAGUCGGCCUGCGCGGAAGAUGUAACGGGGCUAAAACUAUGUGCCGAAGCUGCGGAUNNNNNNUGCUGGAGGUAUCAGAAGUGCGAAUGCUGACGUGAGUAACGACAAAACGGGUGAAAAACCCGUUCGCCGAAAGACCAAGGGUUCCAGUCCAACGUUAAUCGGGGCUGGGUGAGUCGACCCCUAAGGCGAGGCCGAAAGGCGUAGUCGAUGGGAAAAUGGUUAAUAUUCCAUUACUUCUGUGUAAUGCGAUGAGAGGACGGAGAAGGCUAAAUCAGCCUGGCGUUGGUUGUCCAGGUGAAAGGAUGUAGGCAUGUAUCUUAGGCAAAUCCGGGGUACUCUAUGCUGAGAUCUGAUAGCAAGCUGUACUUGUACAGCGAAGUGGUUGAUGCCAUGCUUCCAGGAAAAGUCUCUAAGCUUCAGUUACACAGGAAUCGUACCCGAAACCGACACAGGUGGUCAGGUCGAGUAGACCAAGGCGCUUGAGAGAACUCUGCUGAAGGAACUAGGCAAAAUGGUACCGUAACUUCGGGAGAAGGUACGCUGUUGUUGGUGAUGGAACUCGCUUCCUGAGCUGACGACAGCCGCAGAAACCAGGCCGCUGCAACUGUUUAUUAAAAACAUAGCACUCUGCAAACACGAAAGUGGACGUAUAGGGUGUGAUGCCUGCCCGGUGCUGGAAGGUUAAUUGAUGGGGUUAGCGUAAGCGAAGCUCUUGAUCGAAGCCCCAGUAAACGGCGGCCGUAACUAUAACGGUCCUAAGGUAGCGAAAUUCCUUGUCGGGUAAGUUCCGACCUGCACGAAUGGCAUAAUGAUGGCGGCGCUGUCUCCAGCAGAGGCUCAGUGAAAUCGAAAUCGCUGUGAAGAUGCAGUGUACCCGCGGCUAGACGGAAAGACCCCGUGAACCUUUACUGCAGCUUGACACUGAACUUUGACCUUACUUGUGUAGGAUAGGUGGGAGGCUUUGAAGCUGGAACGCUAGUUCCAGUGGAGCCGUCCUUGAAAUACCACCCUGGUAAUGUUGAGGUUCUAACUCUGUCCCGUGAUCCGGGACGAGGACCGUGUCUGGUGGGUAGUUUGACUGGGGCGGUCUCCUCCUAAAGAGUAACGGAGGAGUACGAAGGUGCGCUCAGCGUGGUCGGAAAUCACGCGUAGAGUAUAAAGGCAAAAGCGCGCUUAACUGCGAGACCCACAAGUCGAGCAGGUACGAAAGUAGGUCUUAGUGAUCCGGUGGUUCUGUAUGGAAGGGCCAUCGCUCAACGGAUAAAAGGUACUCUGGGGAUAACAGGCUGAUACCGCCCAAGAGUUCAUAUCGACGGCGGUGUUUGGCACCUCGAUGUCGGCUCAUCUCAUCCUGGGGCUGAAGCAGGUCCCAAGGGUAUGGCUGUUCGCCAUUUAAAGAGGUACGCGAGCUGGGUUUAGAACGUCGUGAGACAGUUCGGUCCCUAUCUACCGUGGGCGCUGGAAAUUUGAGAGGAUCUGCUCCUAGUACGAGAGGACCAGAGUGGACGAACCUCUGGUGUACCGGUUGUGACGCCAGUCGCAUCGCCGGGUAGCUAUGUUCGGAAGGGAUAACCGCUGAAAGCAUCUAAGCGGGAAGCCUACCUCAAGAUAAGAUUUCCCUAGGACUUUAUGUCCUCUAAAGAGCCGUUCGAGACUAGGACGUUGAUAGGUUGGAUGUGGAAGCAUAGUGAUAUGUGAAGCUGACCAAUACUAAUUGCUCGUGAGGCUUGACUAUACAACACCCAAGCAGUUG
Molecule: ribosomal RNA, 2862 nt
Filed under: Acinetobacter baumannii
Lineage: Bacteria; Pseudomonadati; Pseudomonadota; Gammaproteobacteria; Moraxellales; Moraxellaceae
Description: bacterial LSU rRNA
Rfam family: Bacterial large subunit ribosomal RNA
Source: RNAcentral